AGGAUUAUAGUUAACUAUAACAUUUGAUUUGCACUCAAAAAGUAUUGAAUUCCAAUUAAUCUUA
This 64-nucleotide transfer RNA is filed under the name Hexacentrus japonicus. RNAcentral's name for it is "tRNA-Ala". It matches the Rfam family "tRNA". From Rfam's summary of the family: Transfer RNA (tRNA) molecules are approximately 80 nucleotides in length. Their secondary structure includes four short double-helical elements and three loops (D, anti-codon, and T loops). Further hydrogen bonds mediate the characteristic L-shaped molecular structure. tRNAs have two regions of fundamental functional importance: the anti-codon, which is responsible for specific mRNA codon recognition, and the 3' end, to which the tRNAs corresponding amino acid is attached (by aminoacyl-tRNA synthetases). tRNAs cope with the degeneracy of the genetic code in two manners: having more than one tRNA (with a specific anti-codon) for a particular amino acid; and 'wobble' base-pairing, i.e. permitting non-standard base-pairing at the 3rd anti-codon position. The record is from RNAcentral. Lineage: Eukaryota; Metazoa; Arthropoda; Insecta; Orthoptera; Tettigoniidae.